CCUUGCAUUAUCAAACGCUUCCCCGUGUGUCUCUUGUGCGUCAUUAAUAUACAUGUAUUAUAUGUGUAGACACUUUGUCAUCGCGAGCGCUGGACAGGAAGUCGACACUGUUUUUAGUAUAACGAAAGUGUGUCAGUGAGCAGCGAGUGCGAGCCAAUGCGCUCCGCGCGGCCAGAUCGACUCCAAACUCUUGCACCUCUCUCGCUCUUUUUUCGCAACCGCAAAAUACGAGCAUUUUUUUUAGCGCCGAUUUAUCCGGCCCGGCUGGCUUCCUACCUUCGAUCGUAGCUCCCUUUCAAAGAUUCCGCUGCUUAACGUCGACGACAACGACAUCGAUAAGCGACAAUGACUAUACUGAUGCUGCUGAUUCUCGCCAAAAUGAUGACAACACCAUGAUUUUGAUUGUGCGUGAAAACAUUUAAAAAGACGUGUGAAUCAUUAUAUAAACAAUCCCAAAUGUUGCAGUUUAUCAAUAACCAAUUGGCUUGAAAAGUAACAAAAUGAUACCAAGAAAAAAACUGCAUUUACUGCUUUUCAUGCUGCAAAUAUCUUAUAUUUUUGGAGACUAUGAUACAAGUAUCGACAACUUACUCUUAAGCACUGACUUCAAAGAGAAUGUCAUUGAUGAUUCUUUCAAUGCUAAUGAAAAAUUCAGCAAAAUAGAUAAAACAGUCGAAAAUGCGAAAAAAGAUUACUUACCACAGACUACCACUAUUGACAUUCGUGAAGAGACAACUACUUCAGUGUUUGAAUCAAGCACAGACCCAAGUUCAGAAGGGGAAAAGGCAAUAGAUAUCAACUUACAAAUCGCUGAUAUUAAUGCUACUUUUGCAAAUGUAUCAUGGAAUUAUGAAGGCCAGAAUGUAACUUUUAUUCUCAAAGAUGAUCUCGAAAUCAAAUUACAAAUAAAGCUUAAUAAAUCCGAAAAAUAUCAGGAAAUCAAUAAUCUAGAGCCCUGUUACAAUUAUAUAGUUGAAUUGAUAUUGGACGACGAAAUCUUGAACAAAAAUUUUACUAAAAAUUUUACCACGUCAUAUUAUCCUCCAGGGAAACCAAAUAAAUUAAAAUCGUUUGCAAAUCAAAACAAUUCAUUGAGAAUUGAAUGGGUUAAACCUAAAUAUGCAAGCAAUUGUGUAAAGGGCUACAAAAUUGAUUUAGAUUUGACUCACAUGGAACAUAAACAUGUUGGACCUGCUUAUACUAAUGAAACUUUUUAUGAAUUUGAAAAUCUAUAUUCUUGCACUGUCUAUUUGGUAUCAGUAGUUGCAGUGGACUCAUCAAACAGCGAAUCCGAUAAAGUAGCUACAAUAGAAUCUGCACCGACCUUAGCAACAAUUUCUCAAUCGCCUGUGCUAAGCAAUGCUACUCAAUAUAUUACUAAAAACUCGAUAAAUGUGACUUGGAAUGCUCUUGACCCAUCAAAUAAUUGUACUUUGAAAGAGAUUUACUUUAAUUGCUCGUGGGAUAAGACUCAUGGCAUGGGAUAUGAUGUUUUCAACAGCAAUGUUACUGUCAGUAUUGAAAACAAGACUAUUGAUGAACUUCAACACAUCUCUACCAUUGUUGAUAAUGUAUCCCCAUUUACCGAUUACAUCUGUCAAGCGUUGAUAAAAAAUGAGGCUGGAUCAAGCAAUUGGAGCACACCAGUACUUAUUACAACAGAAGAAGACCUUCCAGGGGAACCGUUGAACUUUCAAACGUACAAUAAAAAUCAUGGAAUCGAAUUUACUUGGGAGCCUCCGAAAAUAAUGCCAGGUAGAUUUAUCGGUUAUAGAUUAGAAUAUACUUGGGAACCACUGUACAUGGUACCCACGCAUUGCAAAGGAUCAAAGCCAAAACGUAAAGUGUGCUCUAUACCAGCCACUAAUAAAUCGUGGACUGAAAAUGAAAAUGAGAUAAGUGCCUUCUACGAAACAAAACUUGCAGCUGCUACAUCUAUUGGUGUGGGUCCAUAUGUUUUUAGUAAAUUUUCAAGUAAUAAGGUGGGAAUUCCUUCAGCGGUAACGAAUUUACAAUGCCGAACGCAGACGUCAAAAGAGGAUUUAAAGCUAUUAGACACAAUUUUGACUUGGCAACUGCCGUGCUCCUUACGAGGCAACUUGAUAAGUUUUUCCGUCGAGUACUCGGGGGAAAGGGAUUGCGAAGGUUGUUCACCACACAAAGGUGUGACAGAACUAAACAUCGAAUACGACAUCACGAACCCAGACGAAGUGUUUUCGAUAAACCUGGGCGAACUGAAACCAGCUUACAACUACACUUUUACUGUGCGAGCAAAGUCAACGGCUUCGGACGAUUAUGGAGAUCCGUCUCUCAUUAACAUGAUAUAUCCAUCUGGGCUUCCAGCGAUGCUCCCAGCUGAUUACAUACAGAUCUUGGGCAUGGGCGAUUACAGAAUGGAUCAUACCUCUCGGAGCGCCACUUUGCUCUUGCCGAUUUUCGACGACUCGAACGGUCCGGUCCAGUUUUAUGCCGUUAUGGUUACAGCUUUGAGCCCGCACAAUUGGACCAGCGAGGGCCGAUGGAACGUUCAUAAACAAGGCUGGCCGGCUACUUUUUCGUGGAAAAACGCCUCUGACAAUGAUUUCACGCUUGUCUAUCAAGCGACUGUGCCAUUUUGGAGUCUAAAAGAUGCAGAGAUUGCCGAGUACGGAGGAUUUUCGGCCGUCAAGUACACAGUCGGCAAAGAUACGACAUGCGCCUACAUGGAAUUUCGUUCAGAAUCAAAAGCUUACUGCAACGGACCCCUCAAACCCAAUACUUGGUACGAGGUAAAAAUGCGAGCUUUCACCUCUGAUGGGUAUAUCGAUUCACCGACGUUUCGCAUUAAAACUGAUCCGGAAUUAAAUCUCACACUGACGAUCGGUGCAUUAAGCGGAAUUUUGUUGAUAGGUUUCCUGCUGACUGUAGUAUUUGGCUUAAAACGCUUCUCUCUGUGCGAAUUUUUCAAUUGCGCCCGACUGAAAUUCCGACGCACCCCGGAACCCAAUCCGAUGACGAUACGCAAAUUUAUGAGGCACUGUAAAGUCAUUAAGGAUAAUCCUGGAAAGCUGAGCAACGAGUACCAGAUGCUCCAGACGCUCAGCUUGGACCUCAUUUUGCCCUGCAACGCUGCUUGCUUGAGAAUCAACCGUUCCAAAAAUCGAUACUCCGACAUUCUGCCUUAUGACUUUACCAGAGUCAAAUUGAGCAUUUUGGAUGGAGAUUCUGCUACAGAUUAUAUCAAUGCCUCGUACAUCAGGGGUUACUCUGGCAGAAAUGAAUAUAUAGCCUGUCAAGGACCAAAAUCUGAUACUUGCUACGAUUUUUGGAGAAUGAUUUGUGAACUUGAAAUUGAAUUUGUAGUCAUGCUCACAAAUUUGGUAGAACAGGGAAGGGAAAAAUGUUUUCGUUAUUGGCCACACAUGGGCGAGACUGCGGAAUACGGAGACAUCAAAAUAACGUCCAUAAAAACCAUGUAUUUUGGAACAUUUGUCAAACGCUGCUUCACCGUUGAACGAGAUCAUUAUCAAAAAACAGUAAGUCAAUUACAUUUCGUCAAGUGGCCUGAUCAUGACAUACCUGACGGUUACGAGCAAACGCUUUAUUUCGUCAAAUAUUAUCGAAAUCAACUUAACAUGAAAAAAGGAUUAUCGGUCGUGCAUUGUAGCGCUGGUAUCGGGAGAACUGGGACUUUCAUAGCUAUUGAUAUGGUACUGCAACACAUUGAGAAUCAUCGAAGGAUAGAUAUUUUUCGUACAGUUUAUGGUAUGAGAAGAGAUCGAGGCUUAAUGGUACAACGCGAGAGUCAAUAUGCUUUCAUUUAUUUUUGCGUGCAUUAUGCCCUGAAAAAUCCAGCUCUCUACGAGACUAUGAGGAAAGACAGUCUAUCGACUUCGAUCGAUUCAAUGAUACCAUUGUGUCAAUCCUCACCCCAAGCUUCACCAAAGAUUUUAAUGAAUGGUAACUCGUUAUUCUUAAUUUAAAUUUUAUAUUAAUUAUUUUAAUAAUAUAGUAAAAGGAUUGAGACACAGCCAAUCAGCGGGUGCCAUUGAUACUAGAUCCGAUCACAAUCGAAUUGAAAGAUAUAAUAGCGAAGGUUAU
This 4080-nucleotide unclassified non-coding RNA is filed under the name Trichogramma pretiosum. RNAcentral describes it as "receptor-type tyrosine-protein phosphatase H-like, transcript variant X2". The record is from RNAcentral. Lineage: Eukaryota; Metazoa; Arthropoda; Insecta; Hymenoptera; Trichogrammatidae.